Molecule: ribosomal RNA, 484 nt
Filed under: uncultured bacterium
Lineage: Bacteria
Description: partial 16S ribosomal RNA
Rfam family: Bacterial small subunit ribosomal RNA
Source: RNAcentral
AGUGAACGCUGGCGGCGUGCUUAACACAUGCAAGUCGAACGAGAACGGAUUAUAGCUUGCUAUAAUUGUCAGCUAAGUGGCGCACGGGUGAGUAAUGUAUAGGUAAUAUGCCUCUUACUAAAGGAUAACAAAUGGAAACGUUUGCUAAUACCUUAUACUCCUUAUUAACCUAAGUUAAUAAGGGAAAGAUUUAUUGGUAAGAGAUUAGCCUGUAUUGUAUCAGUUAGUUGGUGGGGUAAUGGCUUACCAAGACUAUGACACAUAACUGGUUUGAGAGGAUGAUCAGUCACACUGGAGCUGAGACACGGUUCAGACUCCUACGGGAGGCAGCAGUGGGGAAUAUUGCACAAUGGACGAAAGUCUGAUGCAGCAACGCCGCGUGGAGGAUGACACAUUUCGGUGCGUAAACUCCUUUUAUAUGAGAAGAUAAUGACGGUAUUAUAUGAAUAAGCACCGGCUAACUCCGUGCCAGCAGCCGCAGUAA